Herpailurus yagouaroundi (jaguarundi) is the source of this 217-nucleotide long non-coding RNA. RefSeq lists it as uncharacterized. The record is from RefSeq and is a predicted model, not a curated record. The transcript is spliced from 2 exons. Lineage: Eukaryota; Metazoa; Chordata; Mammalia; Carnivora; Felidae.
GAGAGACGUGCGUGCAAAGAGCAGCAACGCUCCUCUUGGACUGCCCGCGUCCCCAACCGCCUCCAGCAAGAGGCUUCAUGGAUGCCUGACAUUUCGUUAUUCACGUAUAUUCUUCGGAUGAGCAUCGCUUUUUACAAAUGCCAGUAUCCUGUGAGGAUCCCCUGGUUGCUUCUGGGGAAGGAUAUAGGGGAUGGGAAUAUGGAGACAUCUCACCUUA